ACUCCUACGGGAGGCAGCAGUGGGUAAUAUUGCACAAUGGGCGCAAGCCUGAUGCAGCCAUGCCGCGUGUAUGAAGAAGGCCUUCGGGUUGUAAAGUACUUUCAGCAGUGAGGAAGGCGGGUACGUUAAUAGCGUGCUCGUUUGACGUUAAGCUGCAGAAGAAGCACCGGCUAACUCCGUGCCAGCAGGCCGCGGUAAUACGGAGGGUGCGAGCGUUAAUCGG
This 223-nucleotide ribosomal RNA is filed under the name uncultured bacterium. Its description in RNAcentral is "partial 16S ribosomal RNA". It matches the Rfam family "Bacterial small subunit ribosomal RNA", at positions 335 to 548 of the family's 1533-position model. The record is from RNAcentral.